GGAUGUAGCUCAGUGGUACAGCACCUGCCUGGAAAGCACGAGGCCCUGAGUUCAAUUCCAGGUACCA
Molecule: non-coding RNA, 67 nt
Organism: Heterocephalus glaber (naked mole-rat)
Lineage: Eukaryota; Metazoa; Chordata; Mammalia; Rodentia; Bathyergidae
Source: Rfam